CAAACUUCUAUUCAAAUCUUAUGGUGCUAGCUGUUGUGACUUGGCAAGUUCUGGCUAUCUCCAUCCCAAUGGUUUAUCUAGCCAUUCGGUUGCAGAAAUACUACUAUGCAUCAGCCAAAGAGUUGAUGCGGAUAAAUGGUACCACCAAAUCAUUUGUGGCUAACCAUCUUGCUGAAUCUAUUGCUGGAGCUGUCACUAUAAGGGCAUUCAAAGAGGAAGAUAGAUUUUUUGCAAAGACUUUUGAGCUUAUUGAUAUAAAUGCCAGUCCUUUCUUCCACAAUUUUGCAGCAAACGAGUGGUUGAUUCAACGACUGGAAACUAUCAGUGCAACUGUUCUCGCAUCUUCGGCACUCUGCAUGGUUUUGCUUCCUCCUGGAACUUUCAGUCCAGGAUUUAUUGGGAUGGCUUUGUCCUAUGGUCUUUCCUUAAACAUGUCUCUUGUUUUUUCCAUUCAAAACCAGUGCACACUCGCAAAUUACAUAAUUUCUGUAGAAAGGCUUAACCAGUAUAUGCACAUCCCAAGUGAAGCUCCUGUGAUUGUUAAAGAGAACCGUCCACCAGUUAAUUGGCCAACAAGGGGUAAAGUUGAAAUUCAAGAUUUGCAGAUCAGAUAUAGGGAAGAUUCCCCGCUUGUUCUUAGGGGGAUCAGUUGUACAUUUGAAGGAGGCCAUAAAAUUGGUGUUGUUGGCCGGACUGGCAGUGGCAAGACUACACUCAUUGGUGCAUUAUUUCGAUUAGUGGAGCCAACAAGUGGAAGGAUUUUGGUAGAUGGAGUUGACAUUUCUAAAAUUGGUCUUCAUGAUUUAAGGUCCCGUUUUGGGAUUAUACCUCAAGAUCCUACACUCUUCAAUGGUACAGUAAGAUACAACUUGGAUCCCUUAUGUCAACAUACUGAUAAGGAUAUAUGGGAGGUACUUGGAAAGUGUCAGCUAAAAGAGCCAGUUGAGGAAAAAGAGAAG
This 959-nucleotide unclassified non-coding RNA is filed under the name Hevea brasiliensis (rubber tree). Lineage: Eukaryota; Viridiplantae; Streptophyta; Magnoliopsida; Malpighiales; Euphorbiaceae. The record is from RNAcentral.